This 280-nucleotide ribosomal RNA is filed under the name uncultured bacterium. RNAcentral describes it as "partial 16S ribosomal RNA". It matches the Rfam family "Bacterial small subunit ribosomal RNA", at positions 506 to 784 of the family's 1533-position model. The record is from RNAcentral.
UGCCAGCAGCCGCGGUAAUACGGAGGGUGCGAGCGUUAAUCGGAAUGUACUGGGCGUAAAGCGCGCGUAGGCGGCUUUGUAAGUCGGAUGUGAAAGCCCCGGGCUUGACCUGGGAAUUGCAUUCGAUACUGCAAGGCUAGAGUAUGGUAGAGGGAAGUGGUAUUCCGGGUGUAGCGGUGAAAUGCGUAGAUAUCCGGAGGAACACCAGUGGCGAAGGCGACUUCCUGGGCCAAUACUGACGCUGAGGGGCGAAAGCGUGGGGAGCAAACAGGAUUAAAUC